CAGCUCGCGAUCGGCUCGCGUGCUGCACAUUCGCGGCGCAUUCGCCAGAUGUGGACGCACCCUUAACAUUACACAGCGAUUAUCAGUGCACAAACGCCUUGCAUUUUUAAAUAGCAAUACGCAUUCUGCUACAAUCUUGCUCGUGCACUUUAUCUUGCAACUCGUUGCUAUCGUUUUAUUGGAAGUGUUAACUUGCUGUUAGUUUAUAUAUUUCCUUAGUGCUUUAUUACCAAAAUCUAUCGCCUUCUCUUAAAAUGUCUGACAUUAAAAGCCUUAUUAAGAAACGUGCUUCAAUUAAAGCAAAGCUUACGCAAUUUUCUUCAUACUUGAACAUUUCCAAGUCAUGUGAACAGUUGAGCGAAGUUCAGAUUGUUGAGGUUGAGUAUAGACUUAAUACUAUCGAAAAUCUAUAUGAUAAAUACGACGUGUUACAGGCCGACAUGGAAGAGAUGGUGGACGACCUUAGCGAGCAAUAUGCGGAGCGUGAGGAGUUCGAAAAGCAGUACUACAGCUUGGUGGCUGCAGCACGUCAGCUGAUCAGCAAUGCUCGCAAGCAAGCUUCAGGGAACUCCAUAGCCGAGCGCUGGUGAAUGUGUCGGAUGCUAAAGGCAACGUUCAUACUGCACGAACCCUGCUGGAUAACGGGAGUACGACUAACCUUAUGUCACAGGAGUUGGCUCGUAAACUUAACAUUUCCACCUAUACAGUCGAGUCUAAGGUAACAGGCAUUAAUGAUCAAUCCUCUUAUUGUACACAAGGUUGUUCGAUUUCAUUAAAGUCAGUCAAUAGUGAAUAUGACAUCGAUAUUGAUUGCUAUGUCGUGUCCAAAAUUUCAUCGUGUGUACCAAAUACAUAUAUCGAUGUGCACAAUAUAAAUAUACCUACCAAUAUAGUCCUGGCUGACCCUCAGUUUUACGUUCCAUCUUCUAUAGAUAUUCUUGUAGGUGCUGAAGUCUUUUGGAACGUUUAAGGUACUAGCCGUAUAGACUUAGGUAAAUCCAUGCCUACUUUAUUUGAGUCCAAAUUGGGAUGGCUGUUAUCAGGAGUCAUCAAGCAAUCAAAUUCUUCUUCUCAUUUAUGUUUGCUGGCUGAUACUUUGCAGGCAGACUUAAACCGUUUUUCUAAGCCAGACUCAGUUUCAGCAAAACAUCUCACGCGCGAAGAGCGUUCUUGUGAGGAAUUAUCUUUGAAGUCCACUUACCGUGAUGCGGAUGGACGCUUCGUAAUUAGCAUACCACUUAAGGAAUCUCCUGACAUAUUGGGUGAUUCCUAUAACAUGGCUAAGCGCCGCUUAGCAUUACCCUACACAUUAGGGCUGAACUGGAGGUGCUCAUCACAUACAUUUUCUUUCUCCAUGUCAGAUCUUUGAUUCUAUUGGCUUGGUCGUUCCUUGCAUAGUGGAAGCCAAGAUAAUCAUGCAGCAACUGUGGCUGAUAAAGUGUUCCUGGGAUGAGCCAGUUCCCGAACAUAUUCAGCAUCCACGGGACAGCUUUCAAAAUAGCUUACCUUUUUUAAAUGAUUUUAGGAUGCGUCGGUGGAUCACGUGUGAAUCAUCAUCUUCUGUGCAGUUGCAGGUGUUUACCGACGCAUCUGAAAGGGCGUAUGGUGCUUGUUUGCAUGUCCGCAGCGUAUCGCUUAGUGGUGAGGUUCAUAUACACCUUACUGCUACAAGCAAAUUAGCGCCGGUCAAGUCAACGACCAUCCCCCGACUCGAACUUUGUGCUGCGUUGUUGAGUUCAAGAUUAUACGUAAAGGUACGUCAGUCACUUACACUACAUAUUGACGGCGUCUAUUUCUGGUGUGAUUCCACCAUAGUCUUGGGUUGGUUGUCCGCCUCACCCACGCAACUUAAGACCUUCGUUCGCCAUCGUGUCUCUGAAAUUCAGGAAACUGCGGAGGGUAGAACUUGGCGUUACGUUCCGUCACCAAAAAAACCCCGCAGACCUCGCUUCGCGUGGACUCAGAGCAGAUAAGCUACUUUCUUCUUCGCUAUGGUGGUCGGGACCACAAUUUUUAUUCAAGGAUUCAUCUACUUGGCCUCAAUUUCCUGAAUCGCAUCAACCCACUCAAAAUCUACCAGAAACAGUAACUUCUUCUUUUCUUCUUUUCAUACCUUCAAUCAUAACGACAAUAUCAUUUCUAAAUUAUUUACAACAUUUAAUAAAAUACAACGUUUUACCGCAUACUUACUUUUCAUUAACAUUAAAAUUAAAAAACAAACAGUUUGUCCUGGUCCACUUACAUCUAAAGAGUUGAAUAGUGCAUUACACAUUAUAUGUAUUAAGAUUUUGCCAACAGGAGUCAUUUCCUUCGUGUUGGAGUUGUAACAAUUCCUUUUAUGAUUACAAUAUAUUAAACACUAUUCUUUAAGCAACUAAACAUAUUAUUUGUAAAUUCUUAUUUGACAUGUAUCACCUACGACUUUUACAUCUUUUACCCCAAUUGCUUCUUAUAAAACUUCGUCACCAUUCACCCAUCAUGAUAGCUGACCGUUGGGACUUAUCAAGUGCUUUACAUGUGUGUUUGUGUGUUUGGCCACAAGGGCCGUCCAUCUUGAACCUUUAUCCGGCUUUUCUGGCUGCCAUGAACCGCUUUAUUGCUCGUAGGGGGAAGCCAAGCAACAUUUUCUCAUGUCUAGCAUUGUCCGCGGUUAAGUCAACCAAAGACCAUCUCAGACGCAUCCUUGGCUUAACGAAUUUAACGUUUGAAGAGAUGGCAACAUGUUUAAUUCAAGUAGAAGCUAUCUUAAAUUCCAGGCCCUUAACUCCACUUUCCGAUGACCUUUCCGACCUUAUUCCCUUGACGCCUGCCCAUUUCCUUAUUGGACGAUCGCUCAUCUUGUUGCCUCACCCACAGGUCCAGAACGCUCACGUGAACAACUUGCAGCGGUUCCGUCGCAUCGAAUGUUUAAAGCAACAUUUCUGGUCACGCUUCUCACAUGAGUACAUUUUGUGGCUCCAACAACGAACCGAAUGAACGAAAUGGCUCCGAUCGUCAGGGGAACUUACAGAAGGAACCCUUGUCGUCAUUAAGGAUAAAAGCUCACCUCCUCUGUUAUGGCUUUUAGGACGGAUCGUUAAGGUGCUUCCUGGUAGAGACGGCAUUGCACGAGUCGCCGACAUCCGCACACGUAAGGGUGUCAUUCGGCGAGCGUUCAACACUAUUUGCCCGUUACCCGUCGCCACUGCUGUUGAAGACACUUCAACGGGGGGAGUAUGUUGAGUCGUCCCACUCGCUUCAACCGCGUCCACGACAAGUGGGGGUGACUGUGACGUCGUGGCACAACAGCUCGCCGCGUAUGCGCCGAGACCAGAGGUCAAAUCAUGCUUAUGCGCACCGGCCGCGCCCACGCGUUCUUACUACUUUAAUUCUUAUUUGCUUAAUUGUACUAUAUUGUUAUAUUUAAAGUCAUUAUACGUAUUUACAUGUUAUACA
Molecule: RNA transcript, 3435 nt
Organism: Helicoverpa zea (corn earworm)
Lineage: Eukaryota; Metazoa; Arthropoda; Insecta; Lepidoptera; Noctuidae
Exons: 2
Source: RefSeq, a predicted model, not a curated record